RNAcentral lists this ribosomal RNA (208 nucleotides) under uncultured bacterium. RNAcentral describes it as "partial 16S ribosomal RNA". It matches the Rfam family "Bacterial small subunit ribosomal RNA", at positions 568 to 774 of the family's 1533-position model. The record is from RNAcentral.
CGUGUAGGUGGCUGACCAAGUCUGGUGUGAAAACGCUACCGCUCAACGGAGCGAUUGCGCUGGAAACUGGUCAACUUGAGUUCGAGAGAGGCAGGCAGAAUACCUGGUGUAGCGGUGGAAUGCUUAGAGAUCAGGUAGAAUACCCGAGGCGAAGGCGGCCUGCUGGCUCGAUACUGGCACUGAGGCGCGAAAGCAUGGGGAUCAAACA